UGAAUAAUAUAAAAUUAUAAAAAAAUGGAGUGAACUGAAACAUCUAAGUAACUCUUAAAAAAAUCAAACGAGAUUCUGUUAAUAGCGGCGAGCGAAAACAGAGAUGUUUUUUACUAAAUUUGGAAAUUGUUUGCCAUAGAAGGUUUUAGCCCUGUACAAAUUGAUGUUUAUAAAAAUAAAGUAAAACAAUUUUUUGUUUGAAUAUUGGGGAACCGCCCUCAAUUCUAAAAAUUUUUGGUAACCGAUAGCAAAAAAGUACCGUGAGGGAAAGGUGAAAAAUGCGUUUAUAAUAGUGUGAAAAUACCUGAAACUUAUUGUUUACAAACUGUUGAAGUUUUUUAAAACGACAGCUUACCUUUUGUAUAAUGGGCUAGUGAGUUUUUUAAGAUGGCGAGCUUAAAUUAUUCUGUGGAAGCGUAGAGAAAUCAAAUACUAACAAUGUUUUUCAGUCAUUUUAAUAAGACCCGAAACUGAGUGAUCUAACCAUGAACAGGUUGAAAAUAAUUUAGUAAUAAAUGUUGGAGGACCGAACUCGUGUAUGUGGAAAAAUACUGAGAUGAUUUGUGGUUAGGAGUGAAAGGCUAAUCAAACUCAGAGAUAGCUGGUUUUCUGCGAAAUCUAUUUAAGUAGAGCGUUUUUUUUUAUUUGUUGUGGUAGAGCUCUCGAUAAGCUAGGGGGUUUUAAAAAUUUACCAAACUUAAUGAAACUACGAAUACGACAAACAAAAUUAAAGCAGACAGAUAUUAGGUGCUAAGAUCUUUUAUCAAAAGGGAAACAACCCUCAUUACUCGUUAAGGUCUUAAAUAAUUUUUAAGUGAAAAAUAUGAUAAUUAAACUAUGACAAUCAUUUGGUAGGCUUGGAAGCAGCCAUCCUUUAAAGAUAGCGUAAUAGCUCAUGAAUCUAGUUUUCUUAUGUUGAUGAUGUAUAGAGACUCAAAAAAUUAACCGAAGUGGUAAAUCAAAACGAUGGUAGCAGAACGUUCUGUAUUUUAGCGAAGAAAAGCUGUAAAGUUUUUUGAAGAAAUCAGAAGUGAAUAUACUAGCAUGAGUAGCGAAAAACAGUGUGCAAAACAUUGUCGCCGUAAGCCUAAGGGUUCUAAAACAAGGCUAAUCCUUUUUAGUAAAAAUCGAAUGAUUUUGAUAUAAGACGACCCCUAAGGUAACAUACUAAUGUUUGUGCUAAUGGGAAAUUUUUAAUAUUUUUCUUAAGAAAGUGACAGAAAUUGAUAUUUAUUAUUAUUGAUUCGUAAUAGUUUAUUAAAUUUUUCAAGAAAUAGCUUUUUAGUCAUAAAUCGUACUUUAAUCCGACACAGGUGGGCAGGUUGAGUAAACUAAGGCGCUUAAGAUAACUUUAUUGAAGGAACUCGGCAAAUUAACUCCGUAACUUCGGAAUAAGGAGUAACGACUUUUGGGUAACCAAAAAUCGUUGUCACAAAAAUGGGGAAAGCAACUGUUUAAUAAAAACACAAGUCUCUGCUAAUUUGUAAAAAGAUGUAUAGGGACUGACACUUGCCCGGUGCUGUAAGGUAAACAUAUUGUUGUUUUGGCUUCAAUAAUAAACCCCAGUAAACGGCGGCUGU
Molecule: ribosomal RNA, 1580 nt
Filed under: Extubocellulus spinifer
Lineage: Eukaryota; Bacillariophyta; Thalassiosirophyceae; Cymatosirales; Cymatosiraceae
Description: partial Bacterial large subunit ribosomal RNA
Rfam family: Bacterial large subunit ribosomal RNA
Source: RNAcentral